UCGGGUUGUAAACUGCGGAAGUACGGAACGAAAGGUCCUUUUUAAUACAGAGGGCUAAUGACGGUACCGUAAGAAUAAGCACCGGCUAACUACGUGCCAGCAGCCGCGGUAAUACGUAGGGUGCGAGCGUUAAUCGGAAUUACUGGGCGUAAAGCGUGCGCAGGCGGUUAUAUAAGACAGUUGUGAAAUCCCCGGGCUCAACCUGGGAAUUGCAUCUGUGACUGUAUAGCUAGAGUACGGUAGAGGGGGAUGGAAUUCCGCGUGUAGCAGUGAAAUGCGUAGAUAUGCGGAGGAACACCGAUGGCGAAGGCAAUCCCCUGGACCUGUACUGACGCUCAUGCACGAAAGCGUGGGGAGCAAACAGGAUUAGAUACCCUGGUAGUCCACGCCCUAAACGAUGUCAACUGGUUGUUGGGUGCAUUAGUACUCAGUAACGAAGCUAACGCGUGAAGUUGACCGCCUGGGGAGUACGGCCGCAAGGUUGCAACU
Molecule: ribosomal RNA, 489 nt
Filed under: bacterium
Lineage: Bacteria
Description: bacterial SSU rRNA
Rfam family: Bacterial small subunit ribosomal RNA
Source: RNAcentral